This is a non-coding RNA of Helianthus annuus (common sunflower), 78 nucleotides long. The record is from Rfam. Lineage: Eukaryota; Viridiplantae; Streptophyta; Magnoliopsida; Asterales; Asteraceae.
AGGAGUCAUAUGAGAUGAAAAUCUUAUGUACGGUUCUGCAAUAGGGAUGAGAACAGUGAUGUUAUCAUCUACUAUAAU